Molecule: non-coding RNA, 557 nt
Organism: Paramuricea clavata
Lineage: Eukaryota; Metazoa; Cnidaria; Anthozoa; Malacalcyonacea; Plexauridae
Source: the annotation of a GenBank genome assembly
UUCAUGUUCUAAAAAAAUGUACAACCAUCAUCUUAACUCCUUCCGACAUCAUAUUGGGACAGUAAUAUGGAAGACAGACCCUGCAUGCUGUAACUGGAGCCUUUCUUAAUCGUAGGUUCGAAUAAAUACGGCUGAAGCGAAAACUUUGCUUCGUCCGUUUCAAAUUUUACAUUAUUCGGUGAUAUAUCUUCGUCUACUUCAGAAGAGCUGCUAGUACUCGAUCGGGCCAUAAUUUAAAAUGAUCAGUAAGAGAAUAAACGAUCAAUAACAUAAUUUAUUUACCCAAAAUCACACCGAAAUGAACUACGAAGCUGUUAAUUUAUAGUGUUUACAUCAAAGACUGAGUGUUUCUAUCACACACUUACGUCACGGCACUCAUAGGACCACCCGCGGAUUCAACAAACAUGGCGGCGACAAUGGACGAAAAAUCAGUGAAACAAAGUUAAAUUUCUCGCAAACGAAAAAGAAUUGAGGCGAACGAAUAUUCAUUCCAAGGUAGGCUCAUAUAAAGCUUUCUUAUGAGCGACACUUGUUCUGGGGGUGGAGUGUCCCUUUAA